UGGCUCUGAUACCAAUUGUAGGAACCCAUUUUUAAAUGAACGGUGGACGCGGAAGAAAUAAUAUCUCGAGAUUCAUCAUGUAUGAAUAUAUGAAAAUAUGAAGAACAUGAUAAGUAACUCUUAGAUAAGAAAAGAUAAGAAAAGAAAGAGAGAUAAAACUAUUAUUCAUGAAGAUCAUGGUUGGAGAGAGAAACUCUCCCUUGGUGGGAGAACCCACCACUUUCUCUCUCUAGAUUACAUUGUGAGAAAAGUAAUCUUCUAAGAAAAGUAAAAUGAGCUAGCUAAAGUAAGAAAUGACCAACUCUCCCUUUAUAUAGGAGGGAGAGUAUUUACACCACAAAAUACAAUAAAGGGAAAAUACAACCUAAUAAUCACUCAUUAUUUGUGGAGCAUUUACAUGCACCAACAUUACAUUUAUCACACUUCGGGAGAGUGCUGGCAUAUGGCUUUGUAGGUGUCGGUGCAGCAGUGGUGGUAGCGGCAUGAACCACCACUGUCUGUUGUUUCUUCGCGGGUUCUUGGGUUGGUUCUCCCUUCUUCUUCCCUCCAAACUUCCUCUUGUUAUUAUUUCCCUUCUUUUUUCGGUGACGGGAGUCAUUAUGCCCUUUUGUACCCCAUGGUCAAUGAGCUUUUGAGCAAGGCGCUUGGCGCUGUCGAACAUUGUUGGGUUUGUAGCAAUCACAUUCCCUUGAAUCUAGGGAGAUAGUCCCCAAAUGAAACGUUCUACUUUCUAUCUUUCCGAAGUGAUCAUUCCAGGAUAGAGGAUUGCCAAGUCGCUAAAUCUGGCAGUGUAGGAUUCGAUGUCAGAGUCGUUCAUGGUGAGAUUCCAAAGCUCUUGUUCUUGCUUUUGAACCUCACCCGUAUGGCAGUACUCUUCAAGCAUCAUGAUUUUGAGAUCCUCCCAGCCCAUCGAGUUUGCUAUCGGGAGGGUUAGAGAUUUGAUGUGGCCAUUCCACCAUGAAAGGCCCCUAUCAAAAAAAGUGCAGGCUGCAAACUUAAUUUUGUUCUCCUCAUGACAGGCGUAGAUUUCAAAUACUAAUUCUGUCUUUUCGGACCAUCGCAUCAGAGCAAUGAUGCCACCACUUCCAUUGAAGGGCUUGGGCUUGCAGUUUGCAAAGUCUUUAUAAGUACAUUCCCUUGGGCGCCCUUGGUUUUCACUUUGAUUGGAGUUGUUCGUUCCAUUUCCUCCUGCAUUGUUGCUACUACUUAUUGGAGCCAUGGCAGCGGCUACAACAGUAGUCACUGCAGCUUGCAACACUGCAGUGUCCCUUUGUGGAGGAGGUGGCAGUGGUGGUGGCGCCGUGGUAUUGUUCUUGCACCUGUUGUAUCUUCUGGGCGGAAUUUUCUACCACAUGAUGGAAUGAUUAUGAGUUUUUGAUAUAGUUAUGUUUCGGACAUUACUGUAAUGGAACACCUUGUUUGUAUCGAAUCUAGUUGUUAUUGAGAGUCGUUUGUACUUUAUAAUUGAAAUUUGACUAUACCAAAUAAAAAUGAAAAGGAAAGACAUAGUAGAUAACAACAUCCAAUAAAAUGAAAUACAUAUCUUUUUCAUUGAAGACAAGGUGCUAGUACAUAUGUUUUGGGGAAAAUUCACCUCUAAGGAGGUCUAUAGUACAUCAAAAGAAAAUAAAACAUUUGCAUCGUAACGACCCUCCGAAUAGUGUAAUCACUUAGACGUAGGGUCGGUACCACAUACAGGAUAAAGGGUAGCACCAACGCAUACCCAUAAACCUAGUUUAUAACACAUUUUGAGUAGGAUGAACCCUACUCACGAUGGGUAGUCCUCUGUGGUCCCUGGGAUGAAGUAGAGGCGCCCUGCAGCUCAGCCAACCGACGCUCGACUGCGAUCACUCUCUCCUCGAGUGUCACAUGCCUCUCCUGAUACUCCCUUACCUCUGCUCGGGCGGUGGUAAGGUCCUCGAUGAGUUGGCCUAUGGGAUAGUAAACCCUCACAAUGUCUCGUGUGUGCGCGUCUGUGACCUCUGCUACGGCUCCUAACUCCAGUAUGUGGUUUUUCGUCGCCCUUGUCUGGAGACCAAUGCCCAAUAUCCAUUGGAUCAUGACGGUAAGUGUCACACCCCAAAACCAAGAACGGCGGAAACGUUCUGGGGCGGAGGACGUCAUGUAUAGUAUCAACAACAAUGCAAAGUAGUAAACAAGCAACAACAUCAUCCAUUGCAUUAAUAAAAUAAUUAUUAUACAAUUGUAUUCUGUCAAAUUUUGAUAAACACUAAAGCAUAAAUCAAAAUGAAAGAUAAGUCUUGAAUAAGAUUCAUCUUCCUUUCUCCUUGCAUCGGUACCUGUCUAUGAUGACCUGAGGAUACAAGUAAUUUUGAAAGCGAGUAUCAGCUAUAAAGCUGGUGAGAUCAUAAGCAUUUAGUGUCUUAAUUUGUAUGUAAGUAUUUGUAAGUCUAUGUAUUAUAAGAAUUUGUAAAUGUAUAUGAAUUGUAAGUGUUUGAAAAACCCUAGAAUCCCUAUGAUUCCUUCUAGUAUGUGAAGGUGUCUUCUCCCAAGACCUAACUGUUAUGUGUGUGUGUCUCUUGUAAGAGUAUGUGUUUUUCCAAAAUAUAACUAUCAUUAUCCAAAAAUAUAGUUUGUACAUUUAUGUUUAAGUGAGGUUAUCACUAAAAUAUGUACUGGAAAAAUUAACGUAAUACUCAAUCGUAGCUCUAAGAGGCUACUAUUUAUCAACAGAUAGUAACUACAUUACCGUGCUUCCUAUGAAGAAUUCACUAAGUGAAUGUAAUAGGAAGAAAUGGUACUAUGGUGUAGUGUCGGACUACAACCGUACCUAUUACCAUAAGUCUAGGGUAAUAUUUCCAAGUACCACAGUAUUUGGAUAUAUAUAUGAGUAUAUAUAUCAGUACACCGAUACUCAACUUGCCUUAUUUGAGGGAUAAGGUAUAAUGUGAUGUCUAGAUCCCAGACUGUUUCGCUCCCCUAUCAAAGGGAUUUUAGGACCUACACACGACCCCUGCAUGAAUGCAAGCCGUGAGCAUCCACAUUACUAUGAUCAUGUAUACUCGAUAUACCAAUCACAAUUGUAGUGUGAUUUAUCAGUAUAGUUAGAUCCUGAACUGGUUCUGAGCUAUAGCCCCUAGUGACGUCUGUUCUAUGUAUAUGUAUAUGUAUAUGUAUAUGUAAGCGUAUUCAUGUAAGUGUGAUCAUGAAAUUGUACACUGGUGUACUGAAAUGUUCUACGUGUGCUAGCUGAAAUAUGUGUUCUCUCUAUCUAGCAAGUAUUGUUACGUAAGCGUUCUAGUAUAUCUGUAUAUGUAUUGUUUCUAGUAUAUCUGUAUAUGUAUUGUUUCUAGUAUAUCUGUAUAUGUAUUGUUUCUAGUAUAUCUGUAUAUGUAUUGUUUCUAGUAUAUCUGUAUAUG
This 3380-nucleotide long non-coding RNA is filed under the name Lactuca sativa (garden lettuce). RNAcentral's name for it is "long non-coding RNA (LSAT_LNC004300)". The record is from RNAcentral. Lineage: Eukaryota; Viridiplantae; Streptophyta; Magnoliopsida; Asterales; Asteraceae.